Molecule: ribosomal RNA, 460 nt
Filed under: uncultured bacterium
Lineage: Bacteria
Description: partial 16S ribosomal RNA
Rfam family: Bacterial small subunit ribosomal RNA
Source: RNAcentral
CCUACGGGAGGCAGCAGUGAGGAAUAUUGGUCAAUGGGCGGAAGCCUGUACCAGCCAAGUAGCGUGCAGGAUGACGGCCCUACGGGUUGUAAACUGCUUUUAUACGGGAAUAACGCGCCUUACGUGUAGGGCUUUGCAUGUACCGUAUGAAUAAGGACCGGCUAAUUCCGUGCCAGCAGCCGCGGUAAUACGGAAGGUCCGGGCGUUAUCCGGAUUUAUUGGGUUUAAAGGGAGCGUAGGCCGCAUGUCAAGCGUGCUGUGAAAUGUCCGGGCUCAACCCGGGCCUUGCAGCGCGAACUGGCGUGCUUGAGUCCGCGGAAAGCAGGCGGAAUUCGUCGUGUAGCGGUGAAAUGCUUAGAUAUGACGAAGAACCCCGAUUGCGAAGGCAGCUUGCUGCAGCGGAACUGACGCUGAUGCUCGAAAGCGCGGGUAUCGAACAGGAUUAGAUACCCUAGUAGUC